GACAGAGGGUGCAAACGUUGUUCGGAUUUACUGGGCGUAAAGCGCGUGUAGGCGGCUUUGCAAGUCGGAUGUGAAAGCCCACGGCUCAACCGUGGAAGUGCAUCCGAAACUGCAUGGCUUGAGUCUCGGAGAGGAAGGUGGAAUGCUUGGUGUAGAGGUGAAAUUCGUAGAUAUCAAGCAGAACACCUGCGGCGAAGGCGGCCUUCUGGACGAUGACUGACACUGAGACGCGAAAGCGUGGGGAGCAAACAGG
Molecule: ribosomal RNA, 253 nt
Filed under: uncultured bacterium
Lineage: Bacteria
Description: partial 16S ribosomal RNA
Rfam family: Bacterial small subunit ribosomal RNA
Source: RNAcentral